This 657-nucleotide long non-coding RNA is filed under the name Populus trichocarpa (black cottonwood). Its description in RNAcentral is "long non-coding RNA (PTRI_LNC000305)". Lineage: Eukaryota; Viridiplantae; Streptophyta; Magnoliopsida; Malpighiales; Salicaceae. The record is from RNAcentral.
UGCCCCUAUUGCUUCAUGAUCAAGAAUCAAAACUUGGGGUGCCCAUCCUCUGAUAAUUAGUCCCACGCCUUCCAUUCUUUCCUCAAAUCCUUCAGGUAACCAAUCUUCCUUGUCUUCUUGACCCUUUUUGUUUCUUCUAACUACCCAGAUAAACUGCUGACCAGAAGCUUCGAGACCUGCUGCAAUCUCCUUAAGCUGAGAGUCACUGAAGUUGGUCGUGCUUCCAAAGCAAAUAUAAACAACUGAAUUUGGUUUCUUUGAGUCGAGCCACUUCAAACACUCAUGGUGAUCAAUUGAGGUUUCUUUUCCUCUUCCUGCUUUAUCUUCAGUGUCUCUAUUGCAUAGUGAAACCGGGCCUACAUUCCAAGCCCUUCUGCCCAAGACCUUCUUGUAGUAAUCAGCGUAAGCUGGCUCAAGCUCAUAAAAGCUGUUGACAACAACACCAAAGCUCCUCAAUUCUGCUUCUUUAGAUGCUUUCAAGAACUUGCUAAAGUCAUUUUCAACAUUUUCUCUUACAUCAUCUGGCAGUUGCUUCUUUGUCAACUUUAUAUCACCAGGAAGAUCAGGCACCACGAAUGGUUCGGAAUCUGAUGAAACUUUCUUGUGUGGCUCAUAAAGCCUCACACAUUCUGAAGCACUUAAAGCAAAGUUACUAGU